Molecule: ribosomal RNA, 402 nt
Filed under: uncultured bacterium
Lineage: Bacteria
Description: bacterial SSU rRNA
Rfam family: Bacterial small subunit ribosomal RNA
Source: RNAcentral
UGGGGAAUAUUGGACAAUGGGCGAAAGCCUGAUCCAGCCAUGCCGCGUGAGUGAUGAAGGCCCUAGGGUUGUAAAGCUCUUUUGUGCGGGAAGAUAAUGACGGUACCGCAAGAAUAAGCCCCGGCUAACUUCGUGCCAGCAGCCGCGGUAAUACGAAGGGGGCUAGCGUUGCUCGGAAUCACUGGGCGUAAAGGGUGCGUAGGCGGGUUUCUAAGUCAGAGGUGAAAGCCUGGAGCUCAACUCCAGAACUGCCCUUGAUACUGGAAGUCUUGAGUUCGGGAGAGGUGAGUGGACCUGCGAGUGUAGAGGUGAAAUUCGUAGAUAUUCGCAAGAACACCAGUGGCGAAGGCGGCUCACUGGCCCGAUACUGACGCUGAGGCACGAAAGCGUGGGGAGCAAACA